GAAAUGCGAUAAGUAAUGUGAAUUGCAGAAUUCAGUGAAUCAUCGAAUCUUUGAACGCACAUUGCGCCCGCCAGAAUUCUGGCGGGCAUGCCUGUUCGAGCGUCAUUUCAACCCUCGAGCUCCCCUUUCGGGGGGAGCCCGGCGUUGGGGACCCGGCGCUAACAACGCCGGCCCCGAAAUGGAGUGGCGGCCCGUCCGCGGCGACCUCUGCGUAGUAACAACCACUCGCACCGGGACCCGGGCGCGGCCACGCCGUAAAACACCCCACCUUCCGAAUGUUGACCUCGAAUCAGGUAGGAAUACCCACUGAACUUAAGC
Molecule: unclassified non-coding RNA, 318 nt
Filed under: plant metagenome
Description: partial contains 5.8S ribosomal RNA, internal transcribed spacer 2, and large subunit ribosomal RNA
Rfam family: 5.8S ribosomal RNA (bases 1-105)
Source: RNAcentral